GAUGAACGCUGGCGGCGUGCCUAAUACAUGCAAGUCGAGCGAACGGACGAGAAGCUUGCUUCUCUGAUGUUAGCGGCGGACGGGUGAGUAACACGUGGAUAACCUACCUAUAAGACUGGGAUAACUUCGGGAAACCGGAGCUAAUACCGGAUAAUAUUUUGAACCGCAUGGUUCAAAAGUGAAAGACGGUCUUGCUGUCACUUAUAGAUGGAUCCGCGCUGCAUUAGCUAGUUGGUAAGGUAACGGCUUACCAAGGCAACGAUGCAUAGCCGACCUGAGAGGGUGAUCGGCCACACUGGAACUGAGACACGGUCCAGACUCCUACGGGAGGCAGCAGUAGGGAAUCUUCCGCAAUGGGCGAAAGCCUGACGGAGCAACGCCGCGUGAGUGAUGAAGGUCUUCGGAUCGUAAAACUCUGUUAUUAGGGAAGAACAUAUGUGUAAGUAACUGUGCACAUCUUGACGGUACCUAAUCAGAAAGCCACGGCUAACUACGUGCCAGCAGCCGCGGUAAUACGUAGGUGGCAAGCGUUAUCCGGAAUUAUUGGGCGUAAAGCGCGCGUAGGCGGUUUUUUAAGUCUGAUGUGAAAGCCCACGGCUCAACCGUGGAGGGUCAUUGGAAACUGGAAAACUUGAGUGCAGAAGAGGAAAGUGGAAUUCCAUGUGUAGCGGUGAAAUGCGCAGAGAUAUGGAGGAACACCAGUGGCGAAGGCGACUUUCUGGUCUGUAACUGACGCUGAUGUGCGAAAGCGUGGGGAUCAAACAGGAUUAGAUACCCUGGUAGUCCACGCCGUAAACGAUGAGUGCUAAGUGUUAGGGGGUUUCCGCCCCUUAGUGCUGCAGCUAACGCAUUAAGCACUCCGCCUGGGGAGUACGACCGCAAGGUUGAAACUCAAAGGAAUUGACGGGGACCCGCACAAGCGGUGGAGCAUGUGGUUUAAUUCGAAGCAACGCGAAGAACCUUACCAAAUCUUGACAUCCUUUGACAACUCUAGAGAUAGAGCCUUCCCCUUCGGGGGACAAAGUGACAGGUGGUGCAUGGUUGUCGUCAGCUCGUGUCGUGAGAUGUUGGGUUAAGUCCCGCAACGAGCGCAACCCUUAAGCUUAGUUGCCAUCAUUAAGUUGGGCACUCUAAGUUGACUGCCGGUGACAAACCGGAGGAAGGUGGGGAUGACGUCAAAUCAUCAUGCCCCUUAUGAUUUGGGCUACACACGUGCUACAAUGGACAAUACAAAGGGCAGCGAAACCGCGAGGUCAAGCAAAUCCCAUAAAGUUGUUCUCAGUUCGGAUUGUAGUCUGCAACUCGACUACAUGAAGCUGGAGUCGCUAGUAAUCGUAGAUCAGCAUGCUACGGUGAAUACGUUCCCGGGUCU
RNAcentral lists this ribosomal RNA (1372 nucleotides) under uncultured bacterium. RNAcentral's name for it is "bacterial SSU rRNA". It matches the Rfam family "Bacterial small subunit ribosomal RNA", at positions 28 to 1381 of the family's 1533-position model. The record is from RNAcentral.